GUGGGGAAUAUUGGGCAAUGGGCGCAAGCCUGACCCAGCAACGCCGCGUGAAGGAAGAAGGCUUUCGGGUUGUAAACUUCUUUUACCAGGGACGCAACAAAUGACGGUACCUGGUGAAUAAGCCACGGCUAACUACGUGCCAGCAGCCGCGGUAAUACGUAGGUGGCGAGCGUUAUCCGGAUUUAUUGGGUGUAAAGGGCGUGUAGGCGGGACAGCAAGUCAGAUGUGAAAACCAGAGGCUCAACCUCUGGCCUGCAUUUGAAACUGUUGUUCUUGAGUGUCGGAGAGGUAAUCGGAAUUCCGUGUGUAGCGGUGAAAUGCGUAGAUAUACGGAGGAACACCAGUGGCGAAGGCGGAUUACUGGACGAUAACUGACGCUGAGGCGCGAAAGCGUGGGGAGCAAACAGGAUUAGAUACCCUAGUAGUCC
Molecule: ribosomal RNA, 428 nt
Filed under: uncultured bacterium
Lineage: Bacteria
Description: partial 16S ribosomal RNA
Rfam family: Bacterial small subunit ribosomal RNA
Source: RNAcentral